UNGCCUGGUCUACAGACUGAGUUCCAGGA
RNAcentral lists this non-coding RNA (29 nucleotides) under Mus musculus (house mouse). The record is from RNAcentral. Lineage: Eukaryota; Metazoa; Chordata; Mammalia; Rodentia; Muridae.